This 397-nucleotide ribosomal RNA is filed under the name uncultured bacterium. RNAcentral describes it as "partial 16S ribosomal RNA". It matches the Rfam family "Bacterial small subunit ribosomal RNA", at positions 523 to 918 of the family's 1533-position model. The record is from RNAcentral.
AUACGUAGGGGGCGAGCGUUGUCCGGAAUGAUUGGGCGUAAAGGGCGCGUAGGCGGCCCGGUAAGUCUGGAGUGAAAGUCCUGUUUUUAAGAUGGGAAUUGCUUUGGAUACUGUCGGGCUUGAGUGCAGGAGAGGUAAGUGGAAUUCCCAGUGUAGCGGUGAAAUGCGUAGAGAUUGGGAGGAACACCAGUGGCGAAGGCGACUUUAUGGAUUGUGACGGAAGCUGAGGUGUGAAAGGGUGGGGAGCAAACUGGUUUAGAUACCUUGGUGGUCCUGGACGUAAACGGUGAAUACUAGGUGAAGUGGGUAUCGGCUCCCUCGGUGCUGCAGUGAACACAAUAAGUAUUCCGCCUGGGGAGUACGGCCGCAAGGUUGAAACUCAAAGGAAUUGUCGGGG